GUUUUUUACGAUCAAAUUUUUUUUAUCCUUCUCGCUCUCUCUCUCUCUCUCUAUAUCGAUCUCUCUCCAUCGCUCCCUCUCAUAGCUCUUUGUGGUCAUGGCUAUUAAUCAAUUUCAAAACCUUUCUAUUUUUCUAUUAUUUUCUAGGCAACCAAACAGAGUUCUUGACUAGGUUUUUUUUUUUUUUUUUUCCCUGUUUUUUAUGAUUUUCGUUUUGAUUUCCUCAUCAAGUUCAUCGCCGUCGAAUUGAUUUCACCAAGCCGGUACUAUUACAUUCAGAUAUUCACACUUCUCCCUAUCCAAACCCUUCGAUUAGCCAUUUUUUUCUAUUUCUCUCGAUUUCGUAGUUUUAAAAACUUAUUUCUGAUCAGUUUGUUUUUGCUUGGACUCGAAUUGCUUCCAUACUCUGUUAUUCGCUUUGAGUAUUUUGAACUUUUGUGGUUUUUGUUCUUGAAUUUGAAAUGCUAUGUCAAAAUUGAAUUUGUGGUUUUGUGUAUUGCGUGCUUUCAAUGUGAUUGCAGGUGCAUUUGCAUUGGUUAUGGACUUUAUGAGGAAUAUGGCAGAAAGUUUCAAGAAUUGUAAGCAGAGUUGGCUUCUUCUAAUGAACUGCGGCAAAAGCUGGAACGAAAGGUGAGUUAUCUUCAGAAUGACAAUGCUUUGCUCUAGAACAAGCAAAAGGAAUUGAAGGGAACUAUACAAAGCUUACUUCAAUCGAAGGAAAGUUUCGUGAAUGCUUAUGAGGUUUGUAAUCUGUAAUCCUCUAUAUAAUGUGUUGUAAUAAUGAUGGUGAUUAGUUUUCUUAAUUAUAGAUAUUUUUGUGGGGGAGGAGAAGAAGUGGGGUAAGUUAGUAAAAGAGUGGACAUGGAUCGAAUUUGGAUUUUGAGAAAGGGGGAUGGUUGAAAGUGAUUGACAAUGCAUAUGAAGAUGUUAAUUUGAUUGAUUGUGGUGUUAGUGCCUCCCUUUCGGCUUAGUGUCAGUGGCGUAUAAAGAAUUGACUUUAUGAGGAAUUUGGUCUCGUGUAGUCGUUUGCUGUUUGGGCGUUGGAGCUGUAGGUGAAUAUCCUUUUAUAGGAAGAGUUAUAUUUUGAUGAUGUAGUGCAUAACAUGUUUGUUUUCUGAUCGGGGAUUGGUCUGUAGUCCUAGUUUUCAUUGUGCUAUGAUGUAGAUGGGGGUAUAGCCUCGUCUAUUUAUAGUUGUAAUUUCCAAUUUUUUGGUUCUGUUUUGGUUAAGGACUAAAGAUGUUAUUCUUUUUCUAGUGAAAUACUUACUAAAAUUUUUUUACUUGUAUGAGUUGUAUCUAGUGGUGCAAGCCACAAGAAUUAAUUGAAUCACGGGUUUACAACCUCAGUACUCACUUUGAAGUCUAAACUGAUCUUCCUUACCUUUUUGUCAUCCCAUCAGUUGCAAGAGUUGAAGCUGCGGGUAUCAGGCAACUUGGACAAUCCCUUUCUAAACCCUGGCAUAUCUGAGAAGCAACUGUUGCAUGUUAUGAUGGUUGAACCUAAAGUCUCAAACAAAUCAUGUUUUACGCAAGAGCUUAUCUCAACUAUCUUAUUUACUAUAGCUCUUGGAUUAGUAUGGUAUGAACCUUCUGUUCCUCAAGUCUCUCUCUCUCUCUCUCUCUCUUCACACACACACACAGAGUACCUAGUAAUUAGUGCUUGUUUGUAUACUUGAGUUUUACUCACUCCAAACUUGAUCUGUUUCCAUGAAAAUAAAAGAAGAGAGGAGGUGGGGGGUGGGGUGCUCCAAAUGGUGUGUGAAAUCUAAUACUCUAAUUUGGUUUCCCUUGUUGUAAUGGUGUCUGUAUCAAUGUUAUAUGCAUGGAUUUAUACUGAAGUAAAUGUCUAUAACUUAUUUUCAUGCGUGUAUGGGCUUCCAUCACAUCUUCCUUUUGCCUAUUGGUUUCUUUGAUAUUCAAUAGGAUGUUCAUGCCAAUGAGCUCUAGCUCAAAUGGAACCUCCUCUUGUAAAAGCAUUGUGGAUGGUGGGGUCAUGGGUUCAAGACCCACCAGGUGCCAUUUAUGUUGUCCUUGGGUGGAUAUGCACUUGUUAAAGUGGAUGUAUGUGCUUUAUGAGUAAGGAAAAUAUUGGAGGGAUGGGGUGUCCUCUACAGUGAAGUACAUGAGGAAAGGAUGCAUCAUCUUUUUUUCAAUGAUACUAGCUUUUGUCAUGGGCCUAGCCUUCUUGUUGGGAAGCGACACUUCUCCAUAAAUCUGUUACUUGAGGAUAAUUGAUGGAGCACAGUGUUUUUUAAUUUUUUUUCUUUUAAUUAGCCAUUUUGAAAACUUGGAACUAUUUGAAUACUUAAAAAAAUUAUUCUGGUGCUUUAGUUUUUAUAUGAGAAUGGAGUUUAAUUUGGAAUUGCACAA
This is a long non-coding RNA of Quercus robur (English oak), 2370 nucleotides long. RefSeq lists it as uncharacterized. The record is from RefSeq and is a predicted model, not a curated record. NCBI's taxonomy places the organism in Eukaryota, Viridiplantae, Streptophyta, Magnoliopsida, Fagales, Fagaceae. The transcript is spliced from 5 exons.